AUGGACCUCUUCUUCGGGCCCCGCCUCCAGCCCCCGCCGCCACCGCCCAAGGCCCAGAACCAGAACCCUCCUCCGCUCCCCGCGUCCGCGCCCGCGCCCGCGCCUGCCAUGACGCAGGCCCUGCCCCAGCCCCAGCUCCCGCUCGAGGUGCAGCAGCAGCAGCAGAUGCUGCAGAUGCAGCAGCAGCAGUUCGCGGCGAUUCAGCCGCAGUUCAUCUUCCAGACCAUGCCCCAGCUCCCGCCCGUCGUCUCAGGAGGAGGCGCCGCCGCCACCAACAACGCCGCCGCUGUCUCCGCGCCGCCGCCGGCCGUGCCGGCCAUGGCCUUCUACCCGCCGCCGCCGCUCGCCUUCCGCUACGCCAACGCCCUCGGCGGGGUCGCCACUGGUGGGACCGUCUCCUUCCAGCAGCCCGCCCCUGGGGUCGGGGCCAUCACUUCCCCCACAGCUGCGCCACAGGCCGCCGGUGACAACAAGGAAAGUGCCUCUAAGAGAAAGAGAGGUGGGCCUGGUGGCUUAAACAAAGUUUGUGCAAUUUCACCUGAACUUCAGACUGUUGUUGGCGAGACUGCCAUGUCAAGAACUCAGAUUGUGAAGCAGUUAUGGGCAUAUAUCAGGCAGAAUAAUCUUCAGGAUCCUGAUGACAAAAGGAAGAUUAUAUGCAAUGAUGAACUUCGUAUCGUUUUUGGAACUGACUCCACAGACAUGUUUAAGAUGAACAAAUUGUUGGCCAAGCACAUAACUCCUCUUGACCCAAAAGAUCAACCUUCGGAAGCAAAAAAGAUUAAGGCUACCAAUGCAACUCCUCAACAAAUGCCUACUAUAAAUCAAAAUCAGCCCUAUGUGGUUGUUUCUGAUGCGCUAGCCAAAUUCCUUGGUGUAGAAGGAACAGUGCCGCAUGAUGAUGCCCUCAAGUAUCUUUGGGAUUACAUAAAAGCAAAUCAGCUUGAGGAUCCUGCGAGUGCGUCAAUACUAUGUGAUUCCAGUCUGCAAGAGCUGUUCGGCUGCGAGAGCAUUCCAGCUUCAGGAUUACCAGACUUGCUUGCUCACCAUUUCAUCCAAAGGACAUAG
This 1068-nucleotide ribosomal RNA is filed under the name Triticum aestivum (bread wheat). RNAcentral's name for it is "partial small subunit ribosomal RNA". Lineage: Eukaryota; Viridiplantae; Streptophyta; Magnoliopsida; Poales; Poaceae. The record is from RNAcentral.